CCCCUAGAUGUUCUGGGCCGCACGCGCGCUACACUGAACAGUUCAACAAGUCUUAACCUUGGCCGAUAGGUCUGGGUAAUCUUUGAACGCUGUUCGUGAUUGGGAUAGACCUUUGCAAUUAUGGGUCUUCAACGAGGAAUUCCUAGUAAACGCAAGUCAUCAGCUUGCAUUGAUUACGUCCCUGCCCUUUGUACACACCGCCCGUCGCACCUACCGAUUGAAUGGUCCGGUGAAAUCUCGGGACGGCGGCUUGGUCGCUUGCGUCCGACUGCUGAAACUUGAUUAAACCAUAUCAUUUAGAGGAAGGUGACGUCGUAACA
Molecule: ribosomal RNA, 320 nt
Filed under: uncultured eukaryote
Lineage: Eukaryota
Description: partial 18S ribosomal RNA
Rfam family: Eukaryotic small subunit ribosomal RNA
Source: RNAcentral